This is a long non-coding RNA of Ziziphus jujuba (common jujube), 719 nucleotides long. RefSeq lists it as uncharacterized. The record is from RefSeq and is a predicted model, not a curated record. Lineage: Eukaryota; Viridiplantae; Streptophyta; Magnoliopsida; Rosales; Rhamnaceae. The transcript has 3 exons.
AGAACGACAUUUUUUAUUCCAUUAAUUGAGGUUGGGAUUGUGUAUAUAAACAGCGCAUUCAAAUAUACCAGGGUUGACACAGAAAACAUGACUUCGAACAAGUUUUCAGUAAUUAUUAGGGAACUGUUCUUGAUAGUAAUUCUUCUGCUGGCUUUGGGAGUGGCAUCAACGGAACUGCCACAAGUCCAGAAUCAUCAUUAUAUGAAGAAUCGAGUUUUAAUUGGAAGAGGUAGAACUCUCUAAUCACCUCAAGCAGCUCCUCCUGAUGAGAACCGUGGCUGACUGAACCAAAUACCAAGUCGAGAUGAUAAGAUGACUGAAGAGAAGCUUGGCGUGCACCAAAUCAAAUAUUUACCAGAUACUUCUGCGGUUCUGAUAUAUCAUAUGUGCGCUUCUGCAGCCAACAAUCUGCCACAUAACGUUGAAAUAUAAUUUUGUUGUCGACUUCAUUAUUGUGAAUUUUUUUUUUUUGGCAUUUAAAAUAAUUUCUUUAGUCACCCGUGAACUUGAUUAUUAAGGACGUUGCUAUCUUUUUCUUUUUUUCCUUUUUUUUUUAAAAAAAUUAAUAAGGUUGUCAAUGACAAUCUGUAUGCAUAUAUAUAUUUUCAUUUUUCUUUUCAAUAAUUAUGCCUCACAAUCCAUGAACUUAAUAAAAAUAAAAUAAAAUUUCGCCAGUUGUUUGACGGAUUGCUUGCUUUCAUUAUUGGAUGACAAGUUUA